CUAUGAGCUGCCCCAAUUUUUAUAGAAGGACCAUUACAUCUGGGCAGAAGAUUUUCCAGAAGUCUCCUUUUCCAGUACUUCACCUGGGUUCCAAGGAGUAUAGUCAUCCUUCUUUAUCCACAAGGGAAUUGUUCCAGGACACCCUCCCCCCACCCCAUGCCCUCCACAGAUACUAAAAUCAAAGGAUGCUUCAGUCCUUUAUGUAAAAUGGCUUAAUAUUUGCAUACCACCUACACACAUCCUCUUGUAUGUUUUAAGUCAUCUCUAGAUGAUUUGUAAUGAUCCAUACAAUGUCAAUGCUGUAAAUAGCC
RNAcentral lists this long non-coding RNA (311 nucleotides) under Marmota monax (woodchuck). The record is from RNAcentral. Lineage: Eukaryota; Metazoa; Chordata; Mammalia; Rodentia; Sciuridae.